This 290-nucleotide long non-coding RNA is filed under the name Eucalyptus grandis. RNAcentral's name for it is "long non-coding RNA (EGRA_LNC004924)". The record is from RNAcentral. Lineage: Eukaryota; Viridiplantae; Streptophyta; Magnoliopsida; Myrtales; Myrtaceae.
UUAGUCAUAGCUGAAGCUUGUGAAAGAGUAUUAACAAGGAAAAUGUUAGUAUGAUACAACAUGAAAGAAGGAAUGUACAGGAUUUGCAAAUAUUGCCCUUCUCAAACAGGCAAUUGUUAAAAAAUAAUCAUUUACAGUAAUCUUUCUGAUGCAGAUCUAUACAGUAGGAAAAGAUUUACUAAUGCCAAAGAAUACCAUAGCUCAAUGGACUCUCUCGUUACUAAUGGAAAAUAUUUAACUUGCAAACCUUAGUUUCAAAGGAAUCCGUAUCAGGGAUAGGAGCAAGAAUG